GGCUUCCGAGUGAGGCUCUGGGUCACCUCCCACCCGUGUUUAUUUUACCUUGUUGCUUCGGCGGGCCCGCCUUAACUGGCCGCCGGGGGGCUUACGCCCCCGGGCCCGCGCCCGCCGAAGACACCCUCGAACUCUGUCUGAAGAUUGUAGUCUGAGUGAAAAUAUAAAUUAUUUAAAACUUUCAACAACGGAUCUCUUGGUUCCGGCAUCGAUGAAGAACGCAGCGAAAUGCGAUACGUAAUGUGAAUUGCAAAUUCAGUGAAUCAUCGAGUCUUUGAACGCACAUUGCGCCCCCUGGUAUUCCGGGGGGCAUGCCUGUCCGAGCGUCAUUGCUGCCCUCAAGCACGGCUUGUGUGUUGGGCCCCGUCCUCCGAUCCCGGGGGACGGGCCCGAAAGGCAGCGGCGGCACCGCGUCCGGUCCUCGAGCGUAUGGGGCUUUGUCACCCGCUCUGUAGGCCCGGCCGGCGCUUGCCGAUCAACCCAAAUUUUUAUCCAGGUUGACCUCGGAUCAGGUAGGGAUACCCGCUGAACUUAAGCAUAUCAAUAAGCGGAGGAA
This 556-nucleotide ribosomal RNA is filed under the name Penicillium chrysogenum. RNAcentral's name for it is "eukaryotic LSU rRNA". The stretch from base 177 to 329 matches the Rfam family "5.8S ribosomal RNA". The record is from RNAcentral. Lineage: Eukaryota; Fungi; Ascomycota; Eurotiomycetes; Eurotiales; Aspergillaceae.